Molecule: transfer RNA, 83 nt
Filed under: Didymella glomerata
Lineage: Eukaryota; Fungi; Ascomycota; Dothideomycetes; Pleosporales; Didymellaceae
Description: Peyronellaea glomerata tRNA
Rfam family: tRNA
About the family: Transfer RNA (tRNA) molecules are approximately 80 nucleotides in length.
Source: Rfam by way of RNAcentral
GCCCGUUUGGCUUAGUGGUACAGCGUCUCACUCGUAUCAUCUACGUAAUGAGAAGAUCCUCGGUUCGAUUCCGAGAAUGGGCA